This is a long non-coding RNA of Varanus komodoensis (Komodo dragon), 1511 nucleotides long. RefSeq lists it as uncharacterized. NCBI's taxonomy places the organism in Eukaryota, Metazoa, Chordata, Lepidosauria, Squamata, Varanidae. The transcript has 3 exons. The record is from RefSeq and is a predicted model, not a curated record.
UUAUGUAACCUCCUCCUACCCACCUUCUUCCCCAAAAAGUUUUUUUGUUUCUUGUUGUUUUGCGAGCGGCCUCAGGCGCAUCCUGGGAAAUGCAGUUUGCCCGGGAACCUGCCUCCAGGUCGCUCAACAGCAGCAGCGCCGGGCAGGCGCGCGCCACGCCGAGGGACGGGCGCGGAAUCUCUCCUUGUAUCCUUGCAUCGAGACUCUCUGCAGCGGCGGGGCGCUGGCGGAGGAAGCACCUGAGUGUCCCGCACCUGCUUUCGAGUUUGCUUUCUUGGAUCAUUCUGUUACAUGGUCUUUGUCCCCCCCUUUCCUCAUAGCAGCCUUGCUGGGGAGGGCUUUCGGCAGGGGGUAAUUGGCCCAGAGAAACUCGUGAAGCAGAUAUGGGGCCGGAGACGGAUUUACGCGCAAGCUAGGCUUGCUACCAUACUGGGGAACGGGGUCUGGAGGACCCAGAUGUGGUCCGGUGGUGUGUACCUAGCACAGAAAUGAGGAAUGUGCAGCCCUCCAGUGGUUGUCAGACUGCAGUUCCCAUCUUCCCUCACAGCUGACUAUGGCUGGCUAGGACUGAUGGGAUUCAAGUUCAUCCAAGUUAGAGACGUGCUCCCCACACAACCCAGAACCUGGAGAUUUCAGGCCUACAUCUCCCAUCAAUCCUCAGCAUUGGCCCUGGGGGUUGAGACUGAUGGGUGUUACAGUCCAGAAACAUCCAGGCACCACACAUUCCCCACCCCAUCCAGUAAAACUUGGGGGCUGAGGAUGUCUUUCCCUUGGCAGACCCCAAAGCCUCCUUCUUUACCCCCCCCCCCCGCAAAGCAUAAACCUAUGUCUAAUUUCCCUGGGUCUUGCACCAUGCAGACAUUUUGGACUCUAAAUCCUAGCAUUCCUGACCACUAGCUUUGGCUGAUGGGCUCAAGGUCAAAAACAUCAAGAACAGACAAGGAUGUUUUCCUCAACCUAGUACCUUCCACAUGGUUUGGACUUUAAGCCUCAGCCCUCCUGCCCUUUGACUGAGGCAUAACCAGUAGCUGGUUGGGAGUUGGGGUGGGGGGCAAUCCAGCCAAAUAGGACUUUAAAAGGAUGGAGUGCAAUCCUUGAAUCACAAUACCUGUCCUUGGAUUCAAGGUUGGAAUUAUCAGCAGUGAAACCACAUGAGCUUAACUUGGUACUGGAAAAUCUCACCUAGGCUCAGAUUCAGAAGAGAAGGAACACUCAUGAGGAUGAAGACAGAAUUUCUUCCAUUAAGCAGUGGCAAAGACACAAAGGACCCCAAAGAGGGCUGAGUUCAGCAAUAAUAUGACAGAUGGUCCUGCAAUGAAAGGAAGGGCCAAUCAGCAGGGCCACGCUCAGGUGGAGAAGAGGCAACCGUCAGGCAUGCUGCUUCCUGGCUGCCAGACACAUGCCUCUGAAAUAGCCAGAAGCAGAGCAUGAAUUCAACUGAUGGUUCCAAGAACAAUUCACUGAAGAUAGACUGUCUGAGAAGAGUGCUUCUGUUCAGCUAUCAGAAAAUA